AGAAUCAACGCUGGCGGCGUGCCUCAGACAUGCAAGUCGAACGCGAAAGUUUCCUUCGGGAGGCGAGUAGAGUGGCGCACGGGUGAGUAACACGUAGGUAAUCUACCUUUGGAUGGGGAAUAACAAUCGGAAACGGUUGCUAAUACCGCAUAAUGCAGCGGCACCUAAUGGUGACAGUUGUUAAAGCGGGGGAUCGAAAGACCUCGCGUCUGAAGAGGAGCCUGCGGCGGAUUAGCUAGUUGGUAAGGUAAUGGCUUACCAAGGCUACGAUCC
Molecule: ribosomal RNA, 273 nt
Filed under: uncultured soil bacterium
Lineage: Bacteria
Description: partial 16S ribosomal RNA
Rfam family: Bacterial small subunit ribosomal RNA
Source: RNAcentral